GACGAACGCUGGCGGCGUGCUUAACACAUGCAAGUCGAACGAAGAGCGAUGGAAGCUUGCUUCUAUCAAUCUUAGUGGCGAACGGGUGAGUAACGCGUAAUCAACCUGCCCUUCAGAGGGGGACAACAGUUGGAAACGACUGCUAAUACCGCAUACGAUCUAAUCUCGGCAUCGAGGAUAGAUGAAAGGUGGCCUCUACAUGUAAGCUAUCACUGAAGGAGGGGAUUGCGUCUGAUUAGCUAGUUGGAGGGGUAACGGCCCACCAAGGCGAUGAUCAGUAGCCGGUCUGAGAGGAUGAACGGCCACAUUGGGAGUGAGACACGGCCCAGACUCCUACGGGAGGCAGCAGUGGGGAAUCUUCCGCAAUGGACGAAAGUCUGACGGAGCAACGCCGCGUGAGUGAUGACGGCCUUCGGGUUGUAAAGCUCUGUUAAUCGGGAUGAAAGGCCUUCUUGCGAAUAGUGAGAAGGAUUGACGGUACCGGAAUAGAAAGCAACGGCUAACUACGUG
RNAcentral lists this ribosomal RNA (510 nucleotides) under uncultured bacterium. RNAcentral describes it as "partial 16S ribosomal RNA". It matches the Rfam family "Bacterial small subunit ribosomal RNA", at positions 28 to 507 of the family's 1533-position model. The record is from RNAcentral.